Molecule: ribosomal RNA, 253 nt
Filed under: uncultured bacterium
Lineage: Bacteria
Description: partial 16S ribosomal RNA
Rfam family: Bacterial small subunit ribosomal RNA
Source: RNAcentral
UACGUAGGUGGCUAGCGUUGUCCGGAUUUAUUGGGCGUAAAGAGCGUGUAGGCGGCCAGGUAGGUCUGCUGUGAAAACUCGAGGCUCAACCUCGAGACGUCGGCGGAAACCAUCUGGCUAGAGUCCGGAAGAGGAGAGUGGAAUUCCUGGUGUAGCGGUGAAAUGCGCAGAUAUCAGGAAGAACACCCGUGGCGAAGGCGGCUCUCUGGGACGGUACUGACGCUGAGACGCGAAAGCGUGGGGAGCGAACAGG